Podarcis lilfordi (Lilford's wall lizard) is the source of this 69-nucleotide non-coding RNA. The record is from the annotation of a GenBank genome assembly. NCBI's taxonomy places the organism in Eukaryota, Metazoa, Chordata, Lepidosauria, Squamata, Lacertidae.
GGAUAUCUCAGCUGGUAGAGCAUACGACUCUUAAGCUCAGGGUUGUGGGUUUGAGCCCCACAUUAGGCA